UUGUUUUUUUUUUUUCUUCAGCUCACUCUCUUUUUCACUUCAAGUGUUCCUCAAGAGAUUCAUGUAUAUUGUCCAUAGUUGUAGGACGAUAUUCUUUACGACGUAUAAAUCUGACGCCAUCAGUUUUCAUAGAUGGAUCAGUCAUAGUAUACUUUUCAGUCCCAGUAUCACUACUUGUGACAUGCAUAGGCCCAACAUCAUCAGGAUCGUCAUCAUAAGAAAAAGGCUCUUUGUCCACUCUACUAAGUUCAUUUGAUCGUUGUGGGGAAUCAAGCGCAGUACUAUAAACCACGUGUUUUCCUGUGGCAAAUGACUUUUCAAAUAUCUCUUGCAACAACUCAAAGUGUUCAAGCCCCUUAUAUAUGAACUUGCUUAACUUUAUAUUUUUUUCUUUCUUUUUUUGUACAAUAUUGAAAAGAAAAUAUUAGUUCAAUGUACAUAAAUAGAAUAUACAUAAUUUAACUCAUCUAGCUAUCUUAUCGAUACAUGCACCGGUCAAAUGUCAAAUGGACAAGUAACUGUGUUACUAAUAGGAUUCUAAUCAUAUCCAAAGCAAUUUAGAAGUAACUCCUUGAAAUUUUUCGUGUCUACCCUUAAUCUGUUAUGUUUGAACUUGAUUUGUUGUUCAUCAUAAAUGUCUUUCUUUUUGGAUUUGCUUCAAAACUGAUCUAUAAUUCUCCUCCAACGUGAAACAUUAAUGGUAGAACCAUUAAAUCUAUAAUUCCUUGCAUCAUCAUGUACGAUAUGAAUCAGAAUAAAUGUAUCAUCAUCUGUACAUUUGUAGGGGUUUGAACCACGUGAUUUGCUCAUUUUUUUCGUUGCGAUUGUAUAACGACAACAAAAUAAUCAGACACAUAAAAAUCUUCAUUUUCGAACAACAUAUAACUAAAAACAUGGCUUAUAUAAGUUGAAGAUCAUAGAACAAGUUAAGAUUUAUAUGUUACUCUAUUAACCAAUGAAGGUGCUGCCACAGAGUUUUCGUUUGAUAUUCCAAAAUCAGAUUCAAGUUUUAUUUGCAUUACAGAACUUUAAAAAAUAAUCUUAACAUCAUCAGUUGUAACAAGCCGAUAGAAGUUGACAUAAUAUUUUUUUUUAAAAAUCGUACAAAAAAUAAUUUCACAAUUGAACAAAAAAUUGAAAAUAUCAACACAUAAUUGAAAAGCAACUAAAAAUUAUCGACACAUAGCUAAACACAGAAAAAUCUCGGUCUAGGAAUAACAAAUCUAAAAUAUGAUGACAAAUAAAGCAUAAAAGAUUACCGUCAAAUAUGUUGCGCAAGCUGUUGGUGUUGAGCGGCAAGAAUGACCGAUUGAAAGUUCCUUUAAAUUUUGAGGAAAGAAGAAAAAAUUGAAGUUGAGGUUAGUUUUCAAUUUUGGAGAUUUUUAUAGUCAAAAG
RNAcentral lists this long non-coding RNA (1395 nucleotides) under Capsicum annuum. RNAcentral's name for it is "long non-coding RNA (CANN_LNC007914)". Lineage: Eukaryota; Viridiplantae; Streptophyta; Magnoliopsida; Solanales; Solanaceae. The record is from RNAcentral.